RNAcentral lists this ribosomal RNA (447 nucleotides) under uncultured bacterium. Its description in RNAcentral is "partial 16S ribosomal RNA". It matches the Rfam family "Bacterial small subunit ribosomal RNA", at positions 355 to 789 of the family's 1533-position model. The record is from RNAcentral.
UGGGGAAUUUUGGACAAUGGGCGAAAGCCUGAUCCAGCAAUGCCGCGUGUGUGAAGAAGGCCUUCGGGUUGUAAAGCACUUUUGUCCGGAAAGAAAUCCUUGGCUCUAAUACAGUCGGGGGAUGACGGUACCGGAAGAAUAAGCACCGGCUAACUACGUGCCAGCAGCCGCGGUAAUACGUAGGGUGCAAGCGUUAAUCGGAAUUACUGGGCGUAAAGCGUGCGCAGGCGGUUUGCUAAGACCGAUGUGAAAUCCCCGGGCUCAACCUGGGAACUGCAUUGGUGACUGGCAGGCUAGAGUAUGGCAGAGGGGGGUUAGAAUUCCACGUGUAGCAGUGAAAUGCGUAGAGAUGUGGAGGAAUACCGAUGGCGAAGGCAGCCCCCUGGGCCAAUACUGACGCUCAUGCACGAAAGCGUGGGGGAGCAAACGAUGGAUUAGACUGACCCG